ACCCCAGGAUGAGCGAGGCCACCCGCCGAGUUUAAGCAUAUCAAUAAGCGGAGGAGAGAAAAACUUUAC
RNAcentral lists this ribosomal RNA (69 nucleotides) under Dendrobium shixingense. RNAcentral describes it as "partial 26S ribosomal RNA". The record is from RNAcentral. Lineage: Eukaryota; Viridiplantae; Streptophyta; Magnoliopsida; Asparagales; Orchidaceae.